AAAAGUUGUUGGACGGAAUCUAUUUACUGUGAAUAAUGACCUCUUGCAUCCGGAUAUACUGUCCUAGCGGAGUCUCAUCAUGCCUCAUUGCUUCUAUGUCUUUUUUGUGUGGAGUGACUGUGUGGGUCAAUGAGAAUUUCACCCAUGAGGAAUGAUGUGAUGGGGCAGAUCUGACUGCUAGGUGAACUGAUCUAUUGUGGGAAUUAAAGAACAAGAAAAACCUCCCUGACGGUCAGGAACUCCUCCUUUUGCUAGUUUUGUUUUGCAUUUAACCAUUACUCUUUGUGUGCCUAUGCACCAAUCAGCUAAUAUUCAAAGCUGAAACUGCCCAAGUGCCCUAAAUUAACUAAAAUUGUCCUAAUUAGCGACUGAAAUAACUCUCUUAAAAACUUUUCAUAAAUUUGUUUGAACCUUAAAUGGCUUUGAUUUUAUACCAGAAAACCCGGCUCAUCAUUUUUUUUUUUUUUUUUAUGACGGAGAAAGAAGGCUUUUAUGGAAUGUAAUUAUGUGUGAGCAUGGAAGUGUAUGUAUAGAGAAGAAAGCUGAACUGUAAAGACAUUAGUUUUUGGUUUCUCACCUUCACACAUUUAAUUUUUUUAUCGGUAAAGAGCAGUGAAACACCUGUGUAUUCGUUUUACUUAACUUCUAUUAGGUUUUUAAAAAAUGCCUCAAAUUUGUUCCUAAAGUGAAAGCUACAUUUUGAAAUCAUUUUGGUACCAUUUUAGGCAGGUCUUGCGAAUAACGUACUCCAUUAGAAUGGGCAUGUAGACUUUUAGACUUGGAGUUGACUGUGAAGGCCAUCUACUUCAUUAACUUAACGAGGGAGGAGAUAGAGUCUGAGAGGUGAAGUGAUUCACCUUAAUUGCGUGGUGGGCUCAUAGCACAGCUAGGCCUGGAGGCCAGACCUUCUGUUUGGCUCACUCGCUGGUCCCACAACAUAUAUCCCUUCCUUUUAGGGUCACGUGGGAAAUAGGAACAAAGUUUAGAUACAUUCCACAAACAGUCCAAAGGAUAACUGUGACUGUUAAUUUCAUCCUUCUUGUCAGAUAACCCUUUUAACAAGUCUCCCAAGGAACAAGUAACGGAACUAAAGAGUUUACCAGAAGCCUGAGCUGCAGGGGGAGAUGCUGCAUAUUGCCUUGCCUGAUGGGUCUCUGCCAUAAUAAAAGGCACAAGUGCAGCUGUUUCAAAAACAUGGGGACUUUAUCUUUGUAAUAAGGAAACAGCAUUUUAGUGCUGUGGGCAGUGAUUCUAAGAAAUAAAUCAUCAGGUUUGCCGUUCCUCGAAAUCUCACAGGUAGUUAUCCCAAAUAACUUUUUGUCGUAGGUUGGAGAGUUCGUACAUUAUUUUUUCUCCUACCGAUCUUUAAAGACUCCCCCAAUGCUGUCCCGACAUCCCCAGGUUGGAAGGAGUGCUCCCAACAGCAUCCAUUAUGGGCCUCCAGUGUAUCUCUUUAUCGCCACAUUUACCAGCAUGGGCUGAAAUUGUGUAUUCACUUCUGCUCCCCUUUGCUAGACAGCAAGCUGCUUGAGGUCAAGGGUGGCUGCAUUCUUUCUUUUUUUCAAAGCUUAGAACAGUGCCUGGAGUGGAAUAGCUCAGUAGAUAUUUGAACGGAACCAAUACUUGGUUUCUUAGUGCUCACUGUUGAGAAGAACCGUCAGGAGGGACUGUAAUACUGAUGGCUCCAAAUCUACAUGAACAAGACAAACAACUUUAAAAACAAAUGAAAAAGUAAACUCUUAUCUUUUUAAGGUUUUGUGCUGAAGCACUAGUAUGCUCCUUUCCCUAGAAGCCAAACUUCAUUAAUUUUGCUGACAAAAUAAGUGCUUAAUUGAAAAUAGUAAUAGUAGGGGUGCCUGGGUGGCUCACUCGGUUCAGUAUUGGAAUCUUGGUUUCCGCUCACGUUAUCAUCUUGCAGUUCGUGAUUUUGAGUCCCGUAACCAGCUGGCUCUGGGCUGACAGUGCAGAGGCUGCUUGGGAUUCUCUCCUGCCCCCUCUCUCUGCCCCUCCCACACUUGUGGGCACCCCCGCCCCUGUGCUCUCUCUCUCAAUAAACAUAAAAAAAAAAAAAAGAUUUAAAGAAAAUAGCAAUAGCUAGAAAUGUGGAUAGUUAUCUCUCCGGUCUGUAAACAGUCAAAACAAACUUUGCAGAAAUCAGUAGGCACCCAACCUCAUAGCCUGUUUCAUUCUUUCAAGCCCUAUGUGAUUUGUUUCUUUCUUUUUUUAAUGUUUACUUAAGAGAGAGAGAGAGAGAGAGAGAGACAGAGUAUAAGCAGGGGUGGGGCAGAGAGAGAGGAAGACACAGAAUCUGAAGCAGACUCCAGGCUCUGAGCGGUCAGCGCAGAGCCCAACAAUGGGGCUCGUACUCACAAGCUGAGAGAUCAUGACCUGAGCCAAAGGUAUACAAUUUUUAUAGGAGAGAUGAGUGGGGUUGAAGAUAGUUGGCUGGCAGAAAGAUUUUUAUAGGCACUGUCUUUACAUGAAGAAGAUGUGAGUUUGCAGUGCCUGUGUUAGAUGCUAUAGCCCAAUUAAUACUGCUGGAUGGUGCUCGAGGUCUCUAGCUGCAUUGUCCUACAUCACAGCAGACUGUCCCAACCAGAGGGUUGGCUGUCCUGAUGUCAGAAUGUCUUUCUUCCUCAGAAUUAGCCUUCUAUGCAGGUGCCUGUCAGAAUUCUAAAGACAGAGAGUGGAGGCUUCACUGCCCUUCUAAGAACAGGUAGUGUGGUUCUAUUUGUGUCUGCCUGCCUGCUGAUAAAAUGUUUGUAUUUCUGGUGAAACUGGCUUAAGACUUGCUUUCAUUGAAACAUACCACAUGCUAGGGAGGGUGUUGGUGUCGGAAUGUGGUUUCCACCCCCCUCUGAUCCCUGGAGGGCCCCUGAAGGUAUUGACAGAAACUGACAGUAGCUAGGCAGUCAGGCUGCGCCUCGGGUUAAGGAGGCUGCAUGAAGUAAAGCAGUGUUUUCUGUGCUUGCCUGACACUGAGAAUUGUCUAGAACUCUCGUUAAAGUUACGGAUUUCCAGAUCCUUCCCGAGCUUUACUGAGCCAGAGCUUCGGGAUGUGUAACAAAUGCCACUGUGUGCUUAGCGCGCUUUGAGGAGCCCUGAAAUGGACAGGAGGUCUCACUGGAUUGAGAAUUGGGAGACUGCAAUGUGACUUCAUGCUGCCAUUUUCUAGUGGCAGAUUCCGAUUAAUUUAUUCAACACCUCCAGGCAUUAGUUUCCUUAAAUAGAGACUUUGACUAAAAUAACCUCUACCUUGGCAUUUUGUGAUUCUAAUGAGGGGUUACUAUUUGAUGAUACUAGUGUAAUAUCACUGAUCAGUAGUGACUUGCAAAUAUCACUGAUCGAUGAUAAUCCCUCUCUGAUUCUUAUGAUUAGGGAUUUAAACAUUUGUGUGUGUGUGUGUGUGUCUGAAAUAAACUCUUCAUGACUAUAGGGACUCUUUCUAAUCAUAUUUGACCCACAUGGAGUGCGUGGAGUUUGAUGUCUUGAGGGGUUAGGGGUCACGGCUUCCUCCUCAUCUUUAAAAAGUGCUAACAUCAUUAUGGAAGGAGAAUUGUAGUUUAAAUGCAUUUGCCAUAUGUCCGAUUUCUACAAGAGAGUUAUUUAUUUUUGUAAUUGUGAAAGGGUCCUGUUUAAGCCAAAACAUCAAUUUACUCACUGACUCUUGGGUAUAAUACAAUUACCUGGUUCAAAAAGCUACGUACGUUUAGGUUUGAAACGUGAUUCUAGCAAUAAUCUAAUUUCCCUCUAUAUAAGAGGAAAACCCAAUAUUAAAAUUUCUUCUGCAUUGAGACUAGCAAAUUUUUUUUUUAAUGAGAGAAAUAUUUGAGUUUUUUAAUAUUUUGGAAGAAAAUUCAGAAAAAAAUGAUGCAGUGCUUUCCUUGGGCUGUCAUUUUAAUGUCUUUUAAAAAAAUUAAGUUUUAGAUAUAAGAUAAAAUGGUUUAUACCUAGCUAGGCACCUAGUGAUUUUUUUUUUUUUUUUUUUUUUAUCUAAUUUCUCCUCAAAUGGGCUUUUACCCUGGGAUAGAUUAGUUCUGCAGGAUUUGAAGUUCAGAAUCAACAGGAUGGUGAUGAUGGUAAUCUUGCCUUCACAUGUUACCUUUGUGGUCGGCACUUCUCGGAAGGAGCACCGUAGCAAUGCCUUAGACAAAUGUAGCAGAAGAGAGGGAGCUUCUGUUUUUGACGAAGGGCUCUUCUGAGAAAAGGCCCUGGCGGUCCCAGCCUCAGUCCCUUUCCUUGUGGAUCAAAUGACAAGUCUGUCAAAGCAUUUGGCAUCCCUCAAGUAAAAAAUGACGUUACUAAUAUCAGUGCGGUUGUAGGAGUGCAAUCCCAACUUUUUGGUAUCGGGCUUUCUGGUGACUUUGUAUUGCCUGCUAACGCCAACAGCUACUCUAGGCCAGACUCUAAUACGGGAGUCUCCUUUUAUCUGCGGUGGGGGGACCUUCCAGGACCCCCAGUGGGGGCCUGAAACCCUGGAUGGUACCAAACCCUGUGCAUACUAUGUUUUUUUCCGACAUCGUGUUAGGCUGCCGUUGACCCUCUGAAGAUGUGUCAGAAGGAGGAUUGCCCGCUUCUGAACUGCGGCCACGGCGAGCAGCCGAACCCGUGGAGAGCGGAACCGCGGGUGAGGGGGGUCUACUGUGUGUACAACAGCUCUAGGAGGUGCAUACUGUUAUUGUGUCUGUUUGACAGGUGAUGCAGCUAAGGCACAAGUCAUUUGUUGACCCACGUCCACGGCUAGUAAGCGAGGGAGCUGGGGUUUGAACUACGGCAGGCUUGUCCCUCUUGAAAUCCUGCGGUCUGCGGUGCUGUCUCUCUUGGACUCAUGACAUUGUGCACUCAGAUGAGGAAAACCGACCCCAAGAAGAUGUGGCGAAGUCCUGGCACAUAUCUGAGGGAAUGACUGAGAAGGCCGAGUUAGCAUCUGUGUGUGCACCGAUGUGCGCCUGUUACCCCGGCCGACCCCUGUGAGGCUGCUCAGCUGGAGCCUGCAUGGUGACAGCUGCCCAAAGUAGGGGACCGCUGGUGUCGGUGAUGAACACGAAAGUACUUCUGAUCUGGCCGCGCCCGGGUGGCUCAGUUGGUUGAGCGACCGACUCUGGAUUUUAGCUCAGGUCGUGGGAUCGAGCCCCACGUCCGGCUCUGCACUCAGUGUUGGAGGCUGCUGGGGAUUCAUUCUCUCUUUCUCUCUC
Molecule: long non-coding RNA, 5195 nt
Organism: Neofelis nebulosa (Clouded leopard)
Lineage: Eukaryota; Metazoa; Chordata; Mammalia; Carnivora; Felidae
Exons: 2
Source: RefSeq, a predicted model, not a curated record